GAUGAACGCUGACAGAAUGCUUAACACAUGCAAGUCGAUUCAAGUUACCUUCGGGUAAUGAGGAUGGCGGACGGGUGAGUAACGCGUAAGGAACUUGCCUCUUGGUCUGGGACAACUGUUGGAAACGACAGCUAAUACCGGAUAUUAUGAGAUUCUCGCAUGGGAAACUUAUGAAAGCUAUAUGCGCCAAGAGAGAGCCUUGCGUUCCAUUAGCUAGUUGGUGGGGUAACGGCCCACCAAGGCGACGAUGGAUAGCCGGCCUGAGAGGGUGAACGGCCACAAGGGGACUGAGACACGGCCCUUACUCCUACGGGAGGCAGCAGUGGGGAAUAUUGGACAAUGGGCCACAAGCCUGAUCCAGCAAUUCUGUGUGCACGAUGAAGGUCUUCGGAUUGUAAAGUGCUUUCAGUUGGGAAGAAGAAAGUGACGGUACCAACAGAAGAAGCGACGGCUAAAUACGUGCCAGCAGCCGCGGUAAUACGUAUGUCGCAAGCGUUAUCCGGAUUUAUUGGGCGUAAAGCGCGUCUAGGCGGAAAAAUAAGUCUGAUGUUAAAAUGCGGGGCUCAACUCCGUAUUGCGUUGGAAACUGUUUUUCUAGAGUACUGGAGAGGUGGGCGGAACUACAAGUGUAGAGGUGAAANUCGUAGAUAUUUGUAGGAAUGCCGAUGGAGAAGUCAGCUCACUGG
Molecule: ribosomal RNA, 686 nt
Filed under: uncultured prokaryote
Description: bacterial SSU rRNA
Rfam family: Bacterial small subunit ribosomal RNA
Source: RNAcentral